This 120-nucleotide small nucleolar RNA is filed under the name Dasypus novemcinctus (nine-banded armadillo). RNAcentral's name for it is "Small nucleolar RNA SNORA68 (ENSDNOG00000029002.1)". It matches the Rfam family "Small nucleolar RNA SNORA68". Rfam says of the family: U68 is a member of the H/ACA class of small nucleolar RNAs (snoRNAs) which act as guides in the the modification of uridines to pseudouridines. Lineage: Eukaryota; Metazoa; Chordata; Mammalia; Cingulata; Dasypodidae. The record is from RNAcentral.
CUUGCACCCAAACCUAAGAGCCGCAGUUUUGGGUAACAGUGGCUCAAAUAGCAAGUGAACCUCAUCGCCUUUGGGUGGCUCUGCCGUGCCCCUCAGAGUGAAUGUGGAGUUUCUACACCC